Molecule: long non-coding RNA, 1606 nt
Organism: Canis lupus familiaris (dog)
Lineage: Eukaryota; Metazoa; Chordata; Mammalia; Carnivora; Canidae
Exons: 3
Source: RefSeq, a predicted model, not a curated record
AGGCACGCAGUCCGCCCACACUGGCCCCAGCCCUGCCGCUCGGGGCGCAGAGGUAGGCAGGGCAGGCCGGCCAGAGGUGGGAGACACCAAAUGAACCAGCACGGACUUCAGACCGUGCUGAGAAAUUGAAGCGGAAGGGAAUACGGUGACCCGGAGGUUGUUUCAGCCCGUGGUAGGUGGUCUACAAAGGCCUCCCUGAUUAAGGACGUUGGAGCAAGAACAGAACGUCGGGACCAGACCACAAAGAUCGGGAGCAGAGUGUGCCAGGCAGAGCCCAGCGGAGCUCCUGGAGCAGGGAGAAGUCCCGGAGCGCCUCCUCGGCCGAGCGGCACUGGUUCAGCUGGAUCUGCACCUCCACGUUACAUGACCAUAUGAGAUUGGAUUUUCAUUAUCCACUUCAACAACCGCAACACAAGAGAUUAACUGCAGAACCGGCUAUUUCAGUGCAACCGUCAAUUAAGCCAGACAAUAAAAAGAUUUGCAAAAAUGUAAAAAAGAAAUGUAAGACCAUCUUAACUCUGGUGCUCAGUAGGGAGCCUGCUUCUCCUCUCUCCUUCUACCUCUCCACCCCCACCCCCUUGUGCUCUCUCUCUCAAACAAACAAAAAAAAAUCUUAAAAAAAAAAGAUUUAAAAGAAGAAUUUUAAGUUGAUAGUUAUUUUUCCUUAAAUGUUUAAGAAUUCUUCUACUGUCUUUUAUUUGGCAUUUUCAGCCGAUGAUAAAACUGCUGUCAUCUUUAUCUUUGUUCCUGUCUUUAUAACUGAUUUUGAGCAGUUUUAUUAUUUUUAAAGAUUUUAUUUAUUCAUGAGAGAUGCAGAGAAAGAGAGGCAGAAAUACAGGCAAAGAAAGAAGCAGGCUCCCCGCUAGGAGUCCGAUGCAGGACUCGGGAUCCCGGACCCUAGGAUCAUACCCUGAGCCAAAGGUAGACACUCAACCGCUGAACCACCCAGUCAUCCCUAAGCAGUUUUAUUAUUAUCUAGCUUGGUUUAGUUUUCUCCAUGCUUUUUGUGUUUUGAGUUCACCAAACUUUUUGGAUUUAUGUAUUUAUAAUUUCCGCCUAACUUGGAAAUGUUUCAGCAAUUACUUCUUCAAAUAUCCUUUUUGCCUUUCCCACUCUCCUUUGGAGAUGCCAACUAUAUGGACAUUGGCUCCUCUGACUUCGUCUCAAAAUUCACUGAUGUUCUGUUCAUUUUUUCCCAGUCAUUUUUCUGCGUUUAAUUGUGGAUAGUUUCUACUGCUUCCAGUUUACUAAUCUUUUCUUCUGAAUUAUCUAAUAUGCCAUUAAUCCCAGUGAAUGUGUUUUUAAUAUGACAUGGUAGUUUUCAUCCCUAAAAGUUUGGUUUACUGUCCAUAUUGCUACAUACCACAAUCUUUCAUUUAGCCUCUUAGAUAUAUGGAAUAUAAUUAUAAUAAGUUUUAAUGUCCUUGUCUACUAACAUGUAUGUCAUUUUUGAGUCAAUUAUGAUUGAUAAAUUCUCAUUAUAUAUUAAGUUUUCUUGCUUUUUUUCCAUAUAUGAUAAUUUUUUAUUGGAUGGCAGAUGUGAAUUUUACCUUGGGUGCUAUUUUUUUUUAAGAUUUUAUUAAUUUGAGGGAGAGAGCAUGCAAGU